This 253-nucleotide ribosomal RNA is filed under the name uncultured bacterium. Its description in RNAcentral is "partial 16S ribosomal RNA". It matches the Rfam family "Bacterial small subunit ribosomal RNA", at positions 524 to 776 of the family's 1533-position model. The record is from RNAcentral.
UACGAAGGGGGCUAGCGUUGUUCGGAAUUACUGGGCGUAAAGCGCGUGUAGGCGGGUCUUUAAGUCAGGGGUGAAAUGCCAAGGCUCAACCUUGGAACUGCCUUUGAUACUGGAGACCUUGAGUCCGGGAGAGGUGAGUGGAAUUGCGAGUGUAGAGGUGAGAUUCGUAGAUAUUCGCAAGAACACCAGUGGCGAAGGCGGCUCACUGGCCCGGAACUGACGCUGAGACGCGAAAGCGUGGGGAGCAAACAGG